AACGAACGCUGGCGGCAUGCCUAACACAUGCAAGUCGAACGAGACCUUCGGGUCUUGUGGCGCACGGGUGCGUAACGCGUGGGAACCUGCCCUUAGGUUCGGAAUAACUCUCCGAAAGGGGUGCUAAUACCGGAUCAUGUCUUCGGCCCAAAGAUUUAUCGCCUUUGGUUGGGCCCGCGUUGGAUUAGCUAGUUGGUAGGGUAAUAGACUACCAAGGCGACGAUCCAUAGCUGGUUUGAGAGGAUGAUCAGCGACACUGGGACUGAGACACGGCCGAGACUCCUACGGGAUGCAGCAGUGGGGAAUAUUGCACAGUGGGCGAAAGGCUGAUCCAGCAAUGCCGCGAAAGUGAUGAAGGCCUUAGGGUUGUAAAGCUCUUGUACCCGGGAUGAUAAUGACAGUACCGGGAGAAUAAGCUCCGGCUAACUCCGUG
Molecule: ribosomal RNA, 433 nt
Filed under: uncultured bacterium
Lineage: Bacteria
Description: partial 16S ribosomal RNA
Rfam family: Bacterial small subunit ribosomal RNA
Source: RNAcentral